CCUACGGGGGGCUGCAGUGGGGAAUAUUCCACAAUGGGCGAAACCCUGAUGCAGCGACGCCGCGUGAGUGAAGAAGUACUUCGGUACGUAAAGCUCUAUCAGCAGGGAAGAAAAUGACGGUACCUGACUAAGAAGCCCCGGCGAAAUACGUGCCAGCAACCGAGGUAAUACGGAGGGGGCAAGCGUUAUCCGGAUUUACUGGGUGUAAAGGGAGCGUAGACGGCAGGGCAAGUCUGGAGUGAAAUCCCAUGGCUUAACCAGGGAACUGCUUUGGAAACUGGGCAGCUAGAGUGCAGGAGAGGUAAGCGGAAUUCCGAGUGUAGCGGUGAAAUGCGUAGAUAUUAGGAGGAACACCAGUGGCGAAGGCGGCUUACUGGACUGUAACUGACGUUGAGGCUCGAAAGCGUGGGGAGCAAACAGGAUUAGAUACCCCAGUAGUC
This 440-nucleotide ribosomal RNA is filed under the name uncultured bacterium. RNAcentral describes it as "partial 16S ribosomal RNA". It matches the Rfam family "Bacterial small subunit ribosomal RNA", at positions 338 to 795 of the family's 1533-position model. The record is from RNAcentral.